ACUCCCAAUCCUUGUACCAGUGUC
This 24-nucleotide microRNA is filed under the name Oreochromis niloticus (Nile tilapia). Its description in RNAcentral is "oni-miR-150". Its record names the gene oni-miR-150. The record is from miRBase by way of RNAcentral. Lineage: Eukaryota; Metazoa; Chordata; Actinopteri; Cichliformes; Cichlidae. RNAcentral also lists the same sequence under 3 other names.